UACGUAGGGGGCGAGCGUUGUCCGGAAUCAUUGGGCGUAAAGCGCGUGUAGGCGGCUCGUUAAGUCCGGUGUGAAACCUUGGGGCUCAACCCCAAGCCUGCACUGGAUACUGACGAGCUCGAGUCCGGGAGGGGAGAGCGGAAUUCCUAGUGUAGCGGUGAAAUGCGCAGAUAUUAGGAAGAACACCGGUGGCGAAGGCAGCUCUCUGGAACGGUACUGACGCUGAGACGCGAAAGCGUGGGGAGCGAACAGG
Molecule: ribosomal RNA, 253 nt
Filed under: uncultured bacterium
Lineage: Bacteria
Description: partial 16S ribosomal RNA
Rfam family: Bacterial small subunit ribosomal RNA
Source: RNAcentral